CGCUGGCGGCGUGCUUAACACAUGCAAGUCGAACGGAAAGGCCCAGCUUGCUGGGUACUCGAGUGGCGAACGGGUGAGUAACACGUGGGUGAUCUGCCCCAAACUUCGGGAUAAGCCUGGGAAACUGGGUCUAAUACCGGAUAUGACCUGCUCCUGCAUGGGGGUUGGUGGAAAGCUUUUGCGGUUUGGGAUGGGCCCGCGGCCUAUCAGCUUGUUGGUGGGGUAAUGGCCUACCAAGGCGACGACGGGUAGCCGACCUGAGAGGGUGUUCGGCCACACUGGGACUGAGACACGGGCCCAGACUCCUACGGGAGGCAGCAGUGGGGAAUAUUGCACAAUGGGCGCAAGCCUGAUGCAGCGACGCCGCGUGAGGGAUGACGGCCUUCGGGUUGUAAACCUCUUUCGCCAGGGACGAAGCGCAAGUGACGGUACCUGGAGAAGAAGCACCGGCCAACUACGUG
RNAcentral lists this ribosomal RNA (461 nucleotides) under uncultured bacterium. RNAcentral describes it as "bacterial SSU rRNA". It matches the Rfam family "Bacterial small subunit ribosomal RNA", at positions 34 to 507 of the family's 1533-position model. The record is from RNAcentral.